UUUUAUUGGAGAAAUGAGACAAUGAAAAAGCUAGAAAAUGGUGUGAUUAAGUACCACACCUAUCUCAUGGGAAGAGGGAGAAAGACUUUUAAAGAAAGCCAGGUGAGCAUCACUAGGAGCGGCCACUGAACCGAGUGCUAGGUUGACUGUGGGCUCAUCAAGACACAUACGGAUGAGAAGGUUGGUGCUCAGGCAAAUUCUAGGAAUACUGAGUGUAUGCAGGCAUGCUGACCAUUACUCUUUUCUGGGACAGAAUCCUUGAAGAGGCCAAGUAGACGCUGACAGGAUGGUGGAAUAGUAGAGGAGGGCUGGAAAGAAUUCUAAGAAGAGAAGUCUGCUCGGACAAGACAAAACAGACAAAAGAAGAAAGGAGACUUGUUAGAGAGAAAGAGAGAGAACAGCAGAGGGAGAGGGAGAAGCAGACUCCCUGCUGUGCAGGGAACCUGAUGCGGGGCUCGAUCCCAGGACCCCGGGAUCAUGACCUGAGCCAAAGGCAGACACUUAACCGACUGAGCCACCCAGAGUGCUGCUUGGAAGGUAGGAGGGUGAGGAAUGGGAUGUGACAUGGAAGACACGCCUGGUGAAUCUGAUGGUGCCACUGGCCACUCUUGACGUCCUGACCUCAGGAAACAAUUUACCAAAAGAAAAUGUGAAUCUCCAAUGUAUGGAAAAUGUGAAUCACAAGCACUGGCUGGAGGCAAAUGAUCCUGUGGGGUAUUCCAAACCCCUCCAAGGUGGUGGAACCACUAAGAAGCAACCACCCUGCAUUGGAUGGUGACAUGAAACAGGCUUUAUGAGAUGGAGUAAGAAAUAACGUUAUGAGAGGCAUCCUCCAGACGCAGUGGCUCGUCUCCGAUGGCAACCAGGACUUCAGCCCUAUCCCCCACUGUCAAUCCACUGAAAGGAAAAUUUAGCAAUUAAAGGUAGAAGAUCAAAGGAAUUACUCUAAUUCUGGGGCUGCAUAUGAAGGAAAUGUAUCUUUUCUAGACCACUGCAAGAUCAUAAAUAUCACUCCGUUUUUUCCGUAAGUAAAAACACGUCUUUCCCUACACAUGCAUGCUCGUGUGCGCGCACACGCAGACACAGAAGACCUAACGGGGACCUUGAGUGAGGCGCUAAAGCAGCCCUGAAGAGUCAGCGAAAGCUUACUGACCUUCUACUGACACCAACCGCUGGACCAGAUGCUCCCAUGAUCUUUUCACGUCAACUGAGUGAUACCUCCCUGCCUUUUGCCUCCCCGCCUUUAACCUCAGGUUCCUUCCUUGUUUUCCAAAAGGGGUUACAUGCACCUGCCCAAUCUGUUGGAGUCACUGUGGCGGUGAAAUAAAGUGAAAUUAUGAGAAACUGCUCUGGGGGAAAAAAAAGGCAUGGCAUAGAAACGAAGUGUCAUUAUGGAUGGCUUUCCCAAGCAUCCUCUUAGGAACAUAGUGUUCCGACAUUGAGGCUAUUUGUUUAGGGCUCAGUCCUGAGGUUUGAAUAGGUCCACCCAGGGAGGGUGUCAGUGAGGCUGAGAUGAGCACAUUAUCUUGAAGAUAUUUUAGAGUAAGGGUAGGAGAGUUUAUGGGAGAGAAAAUAUACAUAUGUGUAUGAACAUUAUAUGCUACAAGGAAUCCUCAGAAGGCGGUGAUAUAAAACUAGAAAGAUAAUAAUCAAAAAAGGAAAAAAAAAGAAGAAAUAAGAACAAGAACAACAAGAGGAAAAUAGGUAGUGAUAAGAAAUAAGAAAUAGUGCCUGAGAUCAGGAUUCAUUUCCUUUGUCUUCCAGCAAAUGUGGAAAGGGAACUCAAAUAGGGUAGUGCCUAAAAUUUCAUGUUGGGAACGCUGAAUAUUUGUUGAAUAUAAUAUCUGAACACAUAUUAAGAGGGCAGUUGGUUCUCCAAUACUCGAAUAGAAAGCACUUAUCCAUUCCGGCUCUCACCCCUUAAAUGGAAAUCAAUGUGAAAAAUCAAAUUUGGUUUAUUUUAAGUUUCUUUAAACCUGCUUUUCAGGCAUGUGUCUACUUCAGAGUAUGAAGUGCAGCUAUUUGUGAUAAGCUGAAUGCUGCCUAUUUGAUGAUCUAGCAAUGAUUUGGGUUUGUAAUCAUUGUCCACUUCCAGUCUGUGGACUGGGUUUAAUCUAAAAUUAAUCCUUUUAAAAAACAUUAGGCAAUAGUUCUUAAGUCUAUGAUGCAUAGCUAUCAGAACUGUGGGUUGCUUACUGGUCUUAUAAAGUUGAGUCUCCUUCCUUGGGCCUGUAUGGAUGUUUUGUAAUAAAG
This is a long non-coding RNA of Mirounga angustirostris (Northern elephant seal), 2253 nucleotides long. RefSeq lists it as uncharacterized. The record is from RefSeq and is a predicted model, not a curated record. The transcript has 6 exons. Lineage: Eukaryota; Metazoa; Chordata; Mammalia; Carnivora; Phocidae.